GACGAACGCUGGCGGCGUGCUUAACACAUGCAAGUCGAACGGAAAGGCCCUGCUUUUGUGGGGUGCUCGAGUGGCGAACGGGUGAGUAACAAGUGAGUAACCUGCCCUUGACUUUGGGAUAACUUCAGGAAACUGGGGCUCAUACCGGAUAGGAGCUCCUGCUGCAUGGUGGGGGUUGGAUAGUUUCGGCGGUUGGGGAUGGACUCGCGGCUUAUCAGCUUGUUGGUGGGGUAGUGGCUUACCAAGGCUUUGACGGGUAGCCGGCCUGAGAGGGUGACCGGCCACAUUGGGACGGGGAUACGGCCCAGACUCCUACGGGAGGCAGCAGGGGGGAAUAUUGCACAAUGGGCGGAAGCCUGAUGCAGCAACGCCGCGUGCGGGAUGACGGCCUUCGGGUUGUAAACCGCUUUCGCCUGUGACGAAGCGUGAGUGACGGUAAUGGGUAAAGAAGCACCGGCUAACUACGUG
RNAcentral lists this ribosomal RNA (468 nucleotides) under uncultured bacterium. RNAcentral's name for it is "partial 16S ribosomal RNA". It matches the Rfam family "Bacterial small subunit ribosomal RNA", at positions 28 to 507 of the family's 1533-position model. The record is from RNAcentral.